CCUAUGUCAUCCCUGGAUUAGAAGUUCUACUGAUGUUAAAGUGCCUUCAGAUAUUCUAAUAUUCAAAGUCAUGAAGGCUUAUAUGCGUUCGUCAUCUCUUCGGAAAGCUGCAUUAAGGGCUCUAUCUAAAACAUUGACAAUUGAUGAGCUAUUUUAUUUGAAGGAGCAGUUUACACUGUUAGAACCAAACAAAAAUGGCACUAUCGGUUUUGAAAAUAUUAAAGCGGUCCUGAUGAAAAAUGCAACUGAUGCUAUGAGGGAGUCACGCGUCCCUGAUUUUCUAGCCUCUCUUAAUGCACUUCAAUACAGAAGGAUGGAUUUUGAGGAAUUUUGUGCAGCUGCAUUAAGUGUCCAUCAAUUAGAGGCUCUUGAUAGAUGGGAACAACAUGCUCGUUGUGCCUAUGAACUUUUUGAAGAGGAGGGAAACAGGGCCAUUAUGAUUGAUGAACUGGCAUCGGAACUCGGCCUUAGCCCUUCUGUCCCUGUACAUGCUGUUCUCCAUGAUUGGAUCAGGCACACUGACGGAAAAUUGAGCUUCCUUGGAUUUGUCAAAUUGUUGCAUGGUGUGUCUAGCAGAAAUCUUGCAAAAGCUCAAUAGAAGUUUCUUAACUAUGCAGAAGCUCCAAAAGACUUGGUGUAUGUCCAUAAGCUGUGUAUUGGUCAAUAAAAAACCAGAGUGAUAGGCACUUUGCAGACGAUUCUUAGGCCUGAAUAUGAAAAGGUAAAAUUUACUGCCACCGUAACCAUGGUCCAGGAAAUUGAGUUUGGACAGGUUUCCUCCGUGGCACAACCUUGUAUACGCCAAGCAUAAAAUUGUGGGACUCGUGCUUGUGCUACGUUGGCGAUGAAAGCUUUAGGCAUUUAUGAUUUUCAAUGUAAAGCUGUGUAGUUACUUGUGUUUAGAUGCAGGUGAGAUAAAUUUCUCAGAACUGGUUGGCGGACACUUGAUGUUCUUACAUAAUGGACUGGGCUGAUGGGUUCGUGAUUGAAUUGUUUCAUUUUCUAGUCAAAUUCCAAUUGCUCUACUUUGCCGCUGUG
RNAcentral lists this unclassified non-coding RNA (1038 nucleotides) under Hevea brasiliensis (rubber tree). Lineage: Eukaryota; Viridiplantae; Streptophyta; Magnoliopsida; Malpighiales; Euphorbiaceae. The record is from RNAcentral.